CCUACGGGAGGCUGCAGUGAGGAAUAUUGGGCAAUGGGCGCGAGCCUGAACCAGCCAAGUCGCGUGAGGGAAGACGGUCCUAUGGAUUGUAAACCUCUUUUGUCGGGGAGCAAAAGACGCCACGCGUGGCGUUCCGAGAGUACCCGAAGAAAAAGCAUCGGCUAACCCCGCUCCAGCAGCCGCGGUACUACGGAGGAUGCGAGCGUUACCCGGAUUGAUUGGGUUUAAAGGGUGCGUAGGGGGGCAUUUAAGCCGGCGGUGAAAUGUCGGGGCUCAACCCCGGCCUGCCGUCGGAACUGGGUGCCUUGAGUGGGCGAGAGGGAUGCGGAAUGCGAGGUGUAGCGGUGAAAUGCAUAGAUA
RNAcentral lists this ribosomal RNA (360 nucleotides) under uncultured bacterium. RNAcentral's name for it is "partial 16S ribosomal RNA". It matches the Rfam family "Bacterial small subunit ribosomal RNA", at positions 338 to 696 of the family's 1533-position model. The record is from RNAcentral.